Molecule: ribosomal RNA, 516 nt
Filed under: Elcaribe abdominalis
Lineage: Eukaryota; Metazoa; Arthropoda; Insecta; Diptera; Therevidae
Description: partial 16S ribosomal RNA
Rfam family: Bacterial large subunit ribosomal RNA
Source: RNAcentral
AAAACAUGUCCUUUAGAAUUUAAUUUAAGGUCUAACCUGCCCACUGAAUUAAAUGGCCGCAGUAUUUUAACUGUGCAAAGGUAGCAUAAUCAUUAGUCUUUUAAUUGAAGGCUUGUAUGAAUGGUUGGACGAAAUAUUAACUGUUUCAUAAAAAUUUUUAGAAUUUUAUUUUUUAGUUAAAAAGCUAAAAUGUUUUUAAAAGACGAGAAGACCCUAUAGAUCUUUAUAUUUUAUGUAUUAUGGUUAUUUAGAUUAGUUGAACUAUGAUUAUAUAAAAUAUUUUGUUGGGGUGACAUUAAAAUUUAAAAAACUUUUAAUUAUUGUUUACAUUAAUUAAUGAGUAAUUGAUCCAUUAUUAGUGAUUAAAAAAUUAAGUUACCUUAGGGAUAACAGCGUAAUUUUUUUGGAGAGUUCAUAUCGAUAAAAAAGAUUGCGACCUCGAUGUUGGAUUAAGAUAUAAUUUUGGGUGCAGCAAUUCAAAUAUUAAGUCUGUUCGACUUUUAAUUUCUUACAUGA